ACAAAACGACUCUCGGCAACGGAUAUCUCGGCUCUUGCAUCGAUGAAGAACGUAGCGAAAUGCGAUACGUGGUGUGAAUUGCAGAAUCCCGUGAACCAUCGAGUUUUUGAACGCAAGUUGCGCCCAAAGCCUUUUGGUUGAGGGCACGUCUGCCUGGGU
This 159-nucleotide ribosomal RNA is filed under the name Garcinia indica (kokum). Its description in RNAcentral is "5.8S ribosomal RNA". It matches the Rfam family "5.8S ribosomal RNA". From Rfam's summary of the family: 5.8S ribosomal RNA (5.8S rRNA) is a component of the large subunit of the eukaryotic ribosome. The record is from RNAcentral. Lineage: Eukaryota; Viridiplantae; Streptophyta; Magnoliopsida; Malpighiales; Clusiaceae.